GGAGAUGAAGUAUUAAGUAUAUUUUAUUUACACUAAAAAGGACUUCAAUUGAAGCGUCUCCA
RNAcentral lists this transfer RNA (62 nucleotides) under Elysia timida. RNAcentral describes it as "tRNA-Val". The record is from RNAcentral. Lineage: Eukaryota; Metazoa; Mollusca; Gastropoda; Plakobranchidae.